CUGAAAUAACGUCUUGAGGUGCACCGGGAGUUC
Molecule: small RNA, 33 nt
Filed under: Bombyx mori (domestic silkworm)
Lineage: Eukaryota; Metazoa; Arthropoda; Insecta; Lepidoptera; Bombycidae
Description: ovarian small RNA-4946
Source: RNAcentral